AUUGAACGCUGGCGGCAUGCCUUACACAUGCAAGUCGAACGGCAGCACGGGUGCUUGCACCUGGUGGCGAGUGGCGAACGGGUGAGUAAUACAUCGGAACAUGUCCUGUAGUGGGGGAUAGCCCGGCGAAAGCCGGAUUAAUACCGCAUACGAUCUACGGAUGAAAGCGGGGGACCUUCGGGCCUCGCGCUAUAGGGUUGGCCGAUGGCUGAUUAGCUAGUUGGUGGGGUAAAGGCCUACCAAGGCGACGAUCAGUAUAUGGUCUGAGAGGACGACCAGCCACACGGGGACUGAGACACGGCCCAGACUCCUACGGGAGGCAGCAGUGGGGAAUUUUGGACAAUGGGCGAAAGCCUGAUCCAGCAAUGCCGCGUGUGUGAAGAAGGCCUUCGGGUUGUAAAGCACUUUUGUCCGGAAAGAAAUCCUUGGCUCUAAUACAGUCGGGGGAUGACGGUACCGGAAGAAUAAGCACCGGCUAACUACGUG
RNAcentral lists this ribosomal RNA (486 nucleotides) under uncultured bacterium. RNAcentral's name for it is "partial 16S ribosomal RNA". It matches the Rfam family "Bacterial small subunit ribosomal RNA", at positions 30 to 507 of the family's 1533-position model. The record is from RNAcentral.